GACGAACGCUGGCGGCGUGCCUAACACAUGCAAGUCGAACGGGGUGUUCCUUCGGGGGACACUUAGUGGCGGACGGGUGAGUAACGCGUGAGUAACCUGCCUUACAGAGGGGGACAACAGCUGGAAACGGCUGCUAAUACCGCAUAACGUAUAUUUAAGGCAUCUUAGAUAUACCAAAGGAGCAAUCCGCUGUAAGAUGGACUCGCGUCCGAUUAGAUAGUUGGUGAGGUAACGGCUCACCAAGUCGACGAUCGGUAGCCGGACUGAGAGGUUGAACGGCCACAUUGGGACUGAGACACGGCCCAGACUCCUACGGGAGGCAGCAGUGGGGGAUAUUGCACAAUGGAGGAAACUCUGAUGCAGCAACGCCGCGUGAAGGAAGAAGGUCUUCGGAUCGUAAACUUCUGUCCUAAGUGAAGAGAAGAAGACGGUAGCUUAGGAGGAAGCCCCGGCUAACUACGUG
RNAcentral lists this ribosomal RNA (463 nucleotides) under uncultured bacterium. RNAcentral describes it as "bacterial SSU rRNA". It matches the Rfam family "Bacterial small subunit ribosomal RNA", at positions 28 to 507 of the family's 1533-position model. The record is from RNAcentral.